RNAcentral lists this transfer RNA (77 nucleotides) under Acidobacteriota bacterium. RNAcentral describes it as "tRNA-Pro". It matches the Rfam family "tRNA". From Rfam's summary of the family: Transfer RNA (tRNA) molecules are approximately 80 nucleotides in length. RNAcentral also lists the same sequence under 1 other name. Lineage: Bacteria; Pseudomonadati; Acidobacteriota. The record is from RNAcentral.
CGGGGCGUAGCGCAGCACGGUAGCGCGCUCGGUUCGGGACCGAGAGGUCGGAUGUUCAAAUCAUCUCGCCCCGACCA